UAUUCAGAAAGAGUGGACGGUGGAAAGGAGAGUUUUCAAAGCUGUAAAUACGUGUAAGCAAAGAAGAUUAUACGUAUUAGUUGAUUGAUUUGUUAUAUGUUUUUGGUGUGCAAUAAAGAAAAAGAAAGAAUUGGGUUUGUGUCGAAACAAAGAUAAGUUUCGAGAUUUUGAGCUGUUCCAGAUAAUUAGAGCGAGGCCAUAAUGGAUUUUUGGCCAGAGUUUCUUGCUACAAGUUGGGGCAGAGAAUUUGUCGCUGGAGGUUUUGGUGGCAUUGCAGGUAUAAUUUCUGGAUAUCCACUUGAUACUUUGCGUAUCCGGCAACAACAGAACUCCAAUUCUGGCUCGGCCUUGAGCAUCCUCCGCCGCGUUAUCUCCGCGGAAGGGCCUGGUGCACUUUACAGAGGGAUGGGUGCACCCCUGGCAUCAGUCACCUUUCAGAAUGCCAUGGCUUUCCAAAUCUACGCUAUCCUUUCUCGAGCAUUUGACUCGUCUGUUUCGGUUAAUGACCCUCCUUCCUACAAAGGUGUGGCUUUAGGAGGAGUUGGCACAGGAGCUUUACAGAGUUUGAUGCUUACUCCUGUAGAACUGGUAAAGAUCCGCCUUCAAUUGCAGGACAAAAGUCAUGCAAAACUCCAUCACAUAGACUGUCACAAAGGUCCUAUAAGUGUUGCCAGGAGCAUACUCAGGACUGAAGGUUUAAAAGGAAUUUAUCGAGGCUUUUCCAUCACUGUCCUUAGAGAUGCGCCUUCUCACGGCUUCUACUUCUGGACAUACGAGUACAUGAGAGAGCAGCUUCAUCCUGGCUGCAGAAAGAACGGCCAAGAAAGCUUAAGAACAAUGCUUAUUGCUGGAGGACUAGCAGGAGUUGCAAGUUGGGUCUGCUGCUAUCCAUUAGAUGUUAUAAAAACCAGACUGCAAGCUCAAACACCAUCUUCCCCACAAAAAUAUAAUGGCAUUCUGGAUUGUCUCAGCAAAAGUGUUAAAAAGGAAGGCUACGGCGUGCUCUGGCGUGGCUUGGGAACUGCUGUUGCAAGGGCUUUUGUUGUGAAUGGGGCAAUAUUUUCUGCUUAUGAGAUCGCACUUAGGUGUUUAUUCAACAAUGGAAGCGUUCAAACAGAGAACACGAUCUAGGGAAAAUUUAUCUCUCCUAAUUUGAAAGAACAGUCCAAGAAGUGCAUAUUGCACGCAAUCCUUUUUCAACACUGCUCAAUGAUCUAAGCAACUAGGAGGCUGGAGCCCUCCUCUUUUUGCACUCAUGGUGUAAGGUU
This 1268-nucleotide unclassified non-coding RNA is filed under the name Hevea brasiliensis (rubber tree). Lineage: Eukaryota; Viridiplantae; Streptophyta; Magnoliopsida; Malpighiales; Euphorbiaceae. The record is from RNAcentral.